Molecule: long non-coding RNA, 1222 nt
Organism: Triticum aestivum (bread wheat)
Lineage: Eukaryota; Viridiplantae; Streptophyta; Magnoliopsida; Poales; Poaceae
Exons: 3
Source: RefSeq, a predicted model, not a curated record
UAGUGUAGCGACGACCCGCUAAAUCUCGGCGAGAAGACGCUCCACCUCCGCUUGCGCCGCCAUGGAUCCUCCUAGGCUUAUCCCUUCCCUCAGGCCUUCCACCCUUCUCAUCCGACGGCUCCAGGAGGGGCACCACAGUAGCAGGCACCGGCGGCGGCACGCCACACACACGCGCCCGAACCCAACUAGCCUCCGUCGGCCGCGGCAGCCAGGCCGUGCCUCUCCUUCCACCGGUCGCGAGAUCCGCCGAUAUCAACUCCGUCCUCCAGCACUGGGUGCCCAGGAUCAACAUGCCUCCUCCCUAUCAGAAGUCACAAAAAAAGAGAUCACGAUGAUGGUGGCAAUGGGUGCCUACUUCCUCCGAUGAUGUCCCAAUCACCUGGGUGGAUAAUCGCACAUUCAGUAUCAGUUCCAUUCUCUACAAGUAGGUCUGUGUCUCUUCCCCUUUUGUGCAUCCCCUGAUUUUUUAUUGAUUCGCCUACUUGAUCCGGUCUCGUGUCGGUGUAAGGGGAGAUGAGAGGAUGAGCACCAGAGGAUCACAGGAUUGGAGGACAGAGUCAAACUGGGAGAAAGCAGAGACUUGAAAUCUAUUCUUCCUCGAGGAACAACACCCCUUGCAGAACCUGGACCUUGAGGGGCUCCGGUCACGGCAACCUGUCAGUUUGCCGGCUGCAGUCCGGUUGAACCAGCGUCCAGGGCAUUCUACCGUCAAAAUAGCCUUUGCGCUGCUUUCGUACACCCACUCUAGCCAUGUCUUCCCCUAGACAUGUGAGGAGGAGCAAGCAGGAGGACAAGGAGCAGCACGCCUCUAUCAUCUACUUUUCACUUUACAAAAUCGAAAGUAGAAUACCGUGCAAAUUUGGAGGAUAAGUGAUUACAUCUCAAGGAUUGCAAGAACACUCACCCAGGAAGCUAUCUUAUUUUCACCUUUUAAUGUGGAGUUGUACUCACAUUAAAACUUCUUGCAAGAUCUGUGCUUUGUUCUGUCUCCGGAAAUGCAUUAACUGAUGCAACUUCCUAAUUGUUGGAAGAUCAAGAAAUACAUAUCUGAGGUGAUCUUAGCAAGCUCUUGAAAAGUAAAAGAAAAACAAACUUAUUCAUAUUCAAAUGUUUAACAGGAAUUUAAAGUUUGCAUUGUGGCUGAUUUGGUAUGUAGUUUUUCUAUGCAUCUCAAUGUGAACUGUUUAUGCCCUAAACCUCAACCAUACCAUGUGUAAUUGAU